AUAAAAAGUGGAUGGAUAUAAAUAACCCAAUCCGCACCCAAACUCUAACCCUAGCCGCUAGAACCCCUCGCUGGAGAAGAUAACCAAGCCGUUGGGGAGCCGACUACUGCCACCCGCCGCCGCACCAGAACCCUUUUCGACCGCUAAAAAAGGUAAAAAUUUCUUCUUUUACACAAAAUUCAAUUUAAACCCACCCAUAACCAAAUCGGAAUAAAAGAACCGGCCAAUUAGACAAAAAACACCACCAAAGUCUGGCGCCGCUGCCGUAGAGAAUUUCACAAACCGCCUCCGAUGAGGCCCUUCCCAAUUCCUGUUUCAUGUAAUUUUUUUACUGUUGUGAUCACCAUUUUCCUCUCUACAGGUUGACCGAAGCGAAACACCCAACCACAACGUGAGUUGGAGGAGCUACCGCAACGGAGAGCCCCGCCGCUAGUGAGUUUCGGUUUUUUAUAUUUUUUUGACCAACUGAGGCCCUUUAGCGUGUAUGCUCGCAAGAAUCGAUGUAAAAUCGAAUGAAUUCAGCUGAAAACGGCCGACCCAAGGCGGACCAUCGCUGCGGGCGGCGGCGUCGUCGCUAGAGCACGACAGAGCCACCGUGUCGGAUUUCUGAAAUUGGUUGAGUAGGCCCUGAGACUGAUUUUUUGGUUUAUUUGAGACAUUUGUAGGUACCAUAAGUGCGUUUCAGUUGCCGAAAAAAAAUUCAAUGAAUCCAGGGACCGCCCGUAGGCGCAGUAAGCUAUUUAGCUUUCGGAGUCAAAUCAAGUAAGCACCCCUCACCCUAUUUGCUAUCAUAGAAUUGAAGUUUAAAUAAAUAAAAAUACGGUAUUUUGUACAAAUUAAAUAGAUGUGCAUAAUUAAUUACGGAUUGCUAAUGGAGCUCGAACCGGACAUUGUUCUCUAUUGAUUUAUUUUACAGUCU
Molecule: long non-coding RNA, 919 nt
Filed under: Carica papaya (papaya)
Lineage: Eukaryota; Viridiplantae; Streptophyta; Magnoliopsida; Brassicales; Caricaceae
Description: long non-coding RNA (CPAP_LNC010386)
Source: RNAcentral